This 449-nucleotide ribosomal RNA is filed under the name uncultured bacterium. Its description in RNAcentral is "bacterial SSU rRNA". It matches the Rfam family "Bacterial small subunit ribosomal RNA", at positions 328 to 794 of the family's 1533-position model. The record is from RNAcentral.
AGACCAGACUCCUACGGGAGGCAGCAGUGGGGGAUAUUGGACAAUGGGGGAAACCCUGAUCCAGCGAUGCCGCGUGAGGGAAGAAGGUUUUCGGAUUGUAAACCUCUGUGGACAGGGACGAUAAUGACGGUACCUGUCAAGAAAGCCACGGCUAACUACGUGCCAGCAGCCGCGGUAAUACGUAGGUGGCGAGCGUUGUCCGGAAUUACUGGGUGUAAAGGGAGCGUAGGUGGCAGGGCAAGUCAGAUGUGAAAACCCGGGGCUCAACUCCGGGAGUGCAUUUGAAACUGUCCAGCUAGAGUGCAGGAGAGGUAAGCGGAAUUCCUAGUGUAGCGGUGAAAUGCAUAGAUAUCACGCAGAACUCCGAUUGCGAAGGCAGCAUACCGGCGCGCAACUGACGCUCAUGCACGAAAGCGUGGGUAUCGAACAGGAUUAGAUACCCGCGUAUA